CAGAUGUGAAAGACCCGGGGCGUCAACCUCGGAAUAGCAUUUGAAACUGGCAAACUAGAGUACUGUAGAGGGGGGGUAGGAAUUUCAGGUGUAGCGGUGAAAUGCGUAGAGAUCUGAAGGAAUACCGGUGGCGAAGGCGGCCCCCUCGGACAGAUACUGACACUCAGAUGCGAAAGCGUGGGGAGCAAACAGGAUUAGAUACCCUGGUAG
RNAcentral lists this ribosomal RNA (210 nucleotides) under uncultured bacterium. Its description in RNAcentral is "partial 16S ribosomal RNA". It matches the Rfam family "Bacterial small subunit ribosomal RNA", at positions 589 to 793 of the family's 1533-position model. The record is from RNAcentral.